GAUGAACGCUAGCGGCAGGCUUAAUACAUGCAAGUCAAGGGGGUAGCAAUACUACCGGCGCACGGGUGAGUAACACGUACAUAACAUACCAUAUACUGGGGUAUAGCUUUGGGAAACUGAAGGUAAUCCCCCAUAACAUUGCGAGAGGGCAUCUGAUUGCAAUUAAAGUUUCGACGGUAUAUGAUUGAUGUGCGUUUGAUUAGCUUGUUGGUAGGGUAACGGCCUACCAAGGCGACGAUCAAUAGCUGGCGUGAGAGCGCGACCAGCCACACUGGAACUGAGACACGGUCCAGACUCCUACGGGAGGCAGCAGUAGGGAAUAUUGGACAAUGGGCGAAAGCCUGAUCCAGCCAUGCCGCGUGAUAGAUGAAGGCCCUCUGGGUUGUAAAUAUCUUUUAUCUGGGAAGAACA
This 411-nucleotide ribosomal RNA is filed under the name uncultured bacterium. RNAcentral describes it as "bacterial SSU rRNA". It matches the Rfam family "Bacterial small subunit ribosomal RNA", at positions 28 to 451 of the family's 1533-position model. The record is from RNAcentral.